UCCGGCUUAUCACCGGCAGUCCCCUUAGAGUGCCCAACUAAAUGAUGGCAACUAAUGACAAGGGUUGCGCUCGUUGCGGGACUUAACCCAACAUCUCACGACACGAGCUGACGACAGCCAUGCAGCACCUGUGUGCAGAUUCUCUUUCGAGCACCCUCCAAUCUCUCGGAGGUUUCUGCCAUGUCAAGGGUAGGUAAGGUUUUUCGCGUUGCAUCGAAUUAAUCCACAUCAUCCACCGCUUGUGCGGGUCCCCGUCAAUUCCUUUGAGUUUUAAUCUUGCGAUCGUACUUCCCAGGUGGGAUACUUAACGCGUUAGCUACGGCACCGCAGGGGUCAAUACCCGCGACACCUAGUGCCCAUCGUUUACAGCGUGGACUAC
Molecule: unclassified non-coding RNA, 379 nt
Filed under: uncultured Pseudomonadota bacterium
Lineage: Bacteria; Pseudomonadati; Pseudomonadota
Description: uncultured proteobacterium contains 16S-23S intergenic spacer region
Source: RNAcentral